CUAGCAUCAUAUGCUGGCUGUCCAGGUGUGUAAACUACACCUGUUAGCAAGGGCCGGGCAAGACCGGUGCCAGCCGCCGCGGUAACACCGGCGGCCCGAGUGGUGAUCGUGAUUAUUGGGUCUAAAGGGUCCGUAGCCGGUUUGGUCAGUCCUCCGGGAAAUCUGAUAGCUCAACUAUUAGGCUUUCGGGGGAUACUGCCAGACUUGGAACCGGGAGAGGUAAGAGGUACUACAGGGGUAGGAGUGAAAUCUUGUAAUCCCUGUGGGACCACCUGUGGCGAAGGCGUCUUACCAGAACGGGUUCGACGGUGAGGGACGAAAGCUGGGGGCACGAACCGGAUUAGAUACCCGGGUAGUCCCAGCCGCAAACGAUGCUCGCUAGGUGUCAGGCAUGGCGCGACCGUGUCUGGUGCCGCAGGGAAGCCAUGAAGCGAGCCACCUGGGAAGUACGGCCGCAAGGCUGAAACUUAA
Molecule: ribosomal RNA, 471 nt
Filed under: archaeon A_20
Lineage: Archaea
Description: bacterial SSU rRNA
Rfam family: Archaeal small subunit ribosomal RNA
Source: RNAcentral